This 431-nucleotide long non-coding RNA is filed under the name Homo sapiens (human). RNAcentral describes it as "HSALNT0357090". The record is from RNAcentral. Lineage: Eukaryota; Metazoa; Chordata; Mammalia; Primates; Hominidae.
UCUAAAUUUAGCCAUAGUUUCAGAAACAAUGCCCUUACAUGACGUGAAAUAAACAGGUCUUUAAGAGAGAGGUGCCAGCUCCUCGUUCGUGGAUGCAUUUGUCCACCUAGGAAUAGACACACGCUGCACAUUUCCUGCAUGCUGGGCUCUGUAAGGAGGAAGGGAGAGGCCCCUGCUUGGAGAAGCUUUCCAUCCAACAGAUGUGGAUGCUACCUAUGCCACCAGUGUCAAACAUAACUUCAGGAUCACAGAAGAGGCCGAGAGUGCUAAAAGGUCACGCUGGAAUGAAGCAUAUGAGGUGAGAACAUAGCAAGAAGCUACCAUCUGUGCACCAGGAAAUGGGCCCUCACAAGACAUCAAAUCUGCCAGCCACCUCAAUGGUGGGCUUUCCAGCCUCCAGAACUGUGAGAAAUAAAUUUCUGUUUUUAUAA